This 877-nucleotide ribosomal RNA is filed under the name uncultured eukaryote. RNAcentral's name for it is "SSU rRNA". It matches the Rfam family "Eukaryotic small subunit ribosomal RNA", at positions 636 to 1469 of the family's 1831-position model. The record is from RNAcentral.
CGGUGUUCAACUGGCGUGUCCGCGGGACGUCCUGCCGGUGGGCUUAGCCCGCAAGGGCGGCCCAACUUCAAAUCCCAUCGCGGUGCUCUUCACUGAGUGUCGAGGUGGGCCGGCACGUUUACUUUGAACAAAUUAGAGUGCUUAAAGCAGGCUAAAACUUCGCCUGAAUACUGUGUGCAUGGAAUAAUGGAAUAGGACCUCGGUUCUAUUUUGUUGGUUUUCGGAACCCCGAGGUAAUGAUUAAUAGGAACGGAUGGGGGCAUUCGUAUUGCGACGUUAGAGGCGAAAUUCUUGGAUCGUCGCAAGACGGACAGAAGCGAAAGCAUUUGCCAAAAACGCUUUCAUUGAUCAAGAACGAAAGUUAGAGGUUCGAAGGCGAUCAGAUACCGCCCUAGUUCUAACCAUAAACGAUGCCAGCUAGCGAUCCGUCGACGUUCCUCCGAUGACUCGACGGGCAGCUUCCGGGAAACCAAAGCUUUUGGGUUCCGGGGGAAGUAUGGUUGCAAAGCUGAAACUUAAAGGAAUUGACGGAAGAGCACCACCAGGAGUGGAGCCUGCGGCUUAAUUUGACUCAACACGGGAAACCUCACCAGGCCCGGACACCGGAAGGAUUGACAGAUUGAGAGCUCUUUCUUGAUUCGGUGGGUGGUGGUGCAUGGCCGUUCUUAGUUGGUGGAGCGAUUUGUCUGGUUAAUUCCGAUAACGAACGAGACUCUAGCCUGCUAACUAGGCGUAUUUUCGACAUCUCAAAGGUCCGUCGUCCCGGCCCUCGGGUCGUGGGCGUGCGCGAUUUUUACUGUCGGCGUACUAUCAAUUCUUCUUAGAGGGACAGGUGGCUUCUAGCCGCACGAGAUUGAGCAAUAACAGGUCUGUGAUG